This 6277-nucleotide long non-coding RNA is filed under the name Sus scrofa (pig). RNAcentral's name for it is "lncRNA (ENSSSCG00000054049.1)". The record is from RNAcentral. Lineage: Eukaryota; Metazoa; Chordata; Mammalia; Artiodactyla; Suidae.
CGGCAUAUGGAGAUUCCCAGGCUAGGAGUCAAAUCAGAGCUGUAGUCGCCGGCCUACACUAGAACCAGAGCAAUGCGGGAUCUGAGCCGCGUCUGGGACCUACACCACAGCUCAUGGCAAUGCCAGAUCCUUAACCCACUGAGCAAUGCCAGGGAUCGAACCCCCAACCUCAUGGUUCCUAGUCAGAUUCGUUAACCAGUGAGCCACGAUGGGAACUCCCAAUAUUGUGUUUUAUAUUACAGUGCAUUUUAAGAAUAAGAGGAGUCUAUGGUAAGGCAGUUCCAAGGUACCACAAUUUCCUAUACAACGUAAAUACUAAAUAAAAGGGGAAAAAUAGCACAAAAAAUUGAUCAUUCUUUCCCUCCGUAUCAGUAUAAUGAAAAUAGUACUGUUUACAUAAGUAAGUACAGAAGUUACUAUUUACAGAAUUCUACAAGUUUGUCUUCAAAGAUAAAUGACUGGAGUGCCAUUAAUUUGGGGUCCGAUUAUUGCAUAUUAUAUCAUCUUUGUCUUAAAAAAGGUAGUUUUAUUCUCUGAAAUCAUGAUAUCAUGACAACUUGGAAUACUCACUGCUAAUCUACCACCGAUAGUCACUUUUGUUAUAAAAUUGCUAUAGUUGAUCUUGCUUUCAAUAAACCAUUGUCAAUUUAAGGAUAUCUGGCUAUAACCUGACAUUUACUCAAGAAACAGUGAAAUUAAGUUCUUGUUCAAUUGGCUACAACCAAAAAAGUAUCAGAGUGAUUUAGUCAUUCAAUGACUAUCUCCUGGGUCCCGGUAUGAAUAAAGCAGAACUCAGUGUAAUGACAGCUUUGUCUAAUCAAGGAAGCCAGUAUGAUGAGGUAAAGAAUCAGACGACUUGAAGGGUAUAUCAGAAACCCUGUUGUUUUCAUUUUCUUUCCUCCACUUAAAACUAUAAAUGAGGCCAAAAGUAGUUAAAAUAUUAGGAAGGUUAUUUAGAAAAGAUAAUUCACAAAACAACCCUCAGGAACUUAAUUCCAAAGAAUUUAACCUGAUUUUUUUUAAAUUUUAUGUUUUUUAUUUUUUUCCCAUUAUAGCUGGUUUACAGUAUUCUUUCAAUUUUCUACUGGACAGCAUGGUGACCCAGUUACACAUACAUGUAUACAUUCUUUUUUUUCACAUUAUCAUGCCCAUCAUAAGUGACCAGACAUAGUUCCCAGUGCUAUGAAUCUAGAUGCUGGUCCCUUUUUAGUUUGAGUUUAAGAAUCUGAUUAAAGAAAUUGUUUUAAGUUGCAAAGUAUGAGACACUAACAUCCAAAACUGUACCACUUAGAAAUAACUACUUACGAACCAAUACAACCAGAUAAACCAUAGAUUUGAGAAUAAAAAUCAAAAGAACCAGCAAAGUUCUGAGAGAGUCCUUUCCUGGCAAAGUCAAAGACAUAGCUAGACUUCAACUCUGGAUAAUUUCUAAGUGUCAUAAAUCACUCCAGGUUUUUAAACUAUAUUUGAGAAUUAAACAUGAAGUGAAUCCCAUAACUUUAUUCUAUGACAAUAAAUUCAGUUGAAUAAGCCACAAAGAUCUAAACUAUUCAAGGGAGAACAAACUUGAAACAAGAACCAAACAGUCUUGAAGCUGAACAACAGUAGUCUCCAUACUCCUUGAUCCAAAAAGUGUGUGUUGUAGGGGGGAGUGGUGGUGGUAGAAUUCCAACAUCUUAGUAACUGCAACUUCUGCUCAUUUUCAAACAACUCCUACACAAGCAAAAAUACCUAUAAAGAAGACUAAUGCCUACACAGAGAGAGGUUACUUAAAGUUUACCCAAACUUUUUGGGAAAAAAAGCCCAAUGGGACUACAAAUCCCUGGAGUCCUGCUUUUUACUUCUGUCCCUUAUGCCUUUGAUUAUACAGAAAAGAACAAUAAUUAGAAAAAGUAUCAUUCAAUUUUAACACUUCUCCAGAUCCAUCCUUAUCAUUCAAAAAUUAUUCAGCCUUACUCUCAUGUUUGAGGAAGUGAGAAUUCCAGGAAUUUUGACUGUCUGGCUCAUUGUAUCACAAUUUCCAGGUAACUUAUGUAAUGUUACUGGGAGUAGCAGAAGAGAAAGAAAACAACUGUGCAAAAAAGCCUUUAGGGAUUUUUGUAUUUGGCUGGUUAAAAUGUUCAGAAUUAUUUAAGAGUUGGAAAAGGAACAAUAAGCCACACCCUCAAAGAGCUCCAGUCUGAAUUCCACCAUUAGUUUAUUGUUUUCCAAUCCAAAACUUCAGUGUACUAACGAGAAUAAAAGAAAAGUGCACCCCCAAAAAUGUGCUGACAUAAUUCGAGCUUCCCUGGAAAUCAAACUUCUAAAACAUAAUUUGGUUACAGAACAUAGACUGAAUUUAUUACUUUACACCUUACUCUUUAUGGAUAUAAAGUACUACUGGCUUCUUCCCAAGGUGAAAAAAAAAAAAAAAAAAGCGGUUUUUACAAGCGCUGCUAAGCAUGGAAUUUGUUAGGACACAGUGCUGUCCUGGAUUUCACAGCAGAAGAAGCUGUUAGAAAAUGAUCUCACGUAUAACACGGUCCUUUAGCAAAGAUGCCGAAGAUGCUGCUAUGAAGCCGCUGCAGGGUAUAGCUAUAAUGUAUACAGCUACAGGAGCCAUGCACCAUGGUAUCAUCAGGGCUAAAGCUGGGCUACAGUUUCUCAUGCAAUUUUACAGUGGAAUUAAUUACAAAAGAAAAUUAACAAGAUGUAGUUAGAUCAUUACUGUUUAGCAAAUGGCUGUAAUACCUCCCUCCCAAAUAUUAUUUGUUGAAGCUGUGUUUCUCAGCUACCACAGGGGUAAAAGAGUCUUUGAGUCUGUUUUCUUUUUAAAAACAAACUUUCUCUAUUUCACCUUAUUAACUACCAGUAGAAUCAUCCCAAAAAUCCAAGAUGAAGUGGGCAAGGAGGUUAAAGAUUGGCUUGAAAGCCGGAAAGAAUUUCAACACGCGCCUUCCAACAGUGACCCUGUGGAGAAGCUGUGUCCUGACGUUUGGGGGACUGACUUACUGGCUCUGUGAUGCCAGGCAUCACACUCAGUGUUUUGGACAGAGGAUUUCAGUUAAGACGCAUGACAGACUAGUGAGGUAAAUUAUACUGUUAUCCAUUUUACUGGGGCAGAAACACAGAUUAGGUAACUUUCCAAAGAUCCAGCAAGUUGGUGAUAGAGUUGGUGACAGAGACUCCUACUCAGACAAUCUGACUCCCAAAUUCACACUUUCAGCCCCUUUGCUGCACGGCCCCUUAUCACAUUAGGCUAUGCUCUUUCCAUCUCUUUCUUCCUCAAAAGAUCACCAGUGUGGUCACCAGUGAAGAACCAAGUAUGAUUCUGAUUCUCUCUGCUUCAGUAAAAUGUUAAUUCCAAACACCUACAGCAAUAAUUUCCCAGAAUCUCCAUGCUUCAUUCAUUCAACAUUUUUUUUUCUUUUUCAGGGCCACACCUGCAGCAUAUGGAAGCUCCCAGGAUAGGGGUCGAAUCAGAGCUGCAGCUGCCAGCCUAGACCACAGCCACAUCAAUGCCAGAUCUGAGCAGUGUCUGCAAUCUACACCACAACUCACAGCAAUGUAGGAUCCUUAAUCCACUGAGUGAGGCCAGGGAUCAAACCCCCAUCCUCAUAGAUAUUAGGUUCAUAACCCACUGAGCCACAACAGGAACUCCCAUUCAACAUCUUGACAAAGAUUUACUGACUCCCUCUAAUUUAUGAACAAAAACUGACUAAUGCAUAACUUCUACCCAAAAAGUUUAUAACCCAUUACUUAUAAAGGACUAUACCAAUAGUUGAAAUAAAUUAAAUGAAUUAAUAAUCAGAUCAUCACACUCUUCUGCGUAAAUCUAUACCAAGAGCUUAAAUUUAACACACCCUGAACAUACUAGUUCACACAUUGUUACAUGAACUGUCCUCUCCCCAUCUCUUUGAGAGCAUCUCUUACUACUACUCCUUGCUCAAGAUGCUGAAGACACUUGACCUUCCUCUUACUCUGGGAACUCACCAAGAUUUCUCCUGUUUGUGGAUCUUUGUGCCUUUUUUCUCUACUUCUACACCUUCCCACAGCUGGCUCAUUCUUUGCAUUCAAGUCACCGUCUAAUGUCACUUUCUCAAAGAGGCCCACCCUGAACCACUGGAUGUAAUCUGGCCUAUACCCUCCUCCGCCUGACACCCCCAAAUAUUGUUCUAUGAUAAAUAUCUAAUGGUCCUCACAGCAUGCAUUACCAUCAGAAAUUACAUAUUUUUAAAUUUUAUUUUCUUGCUUAUGGUCUGUUUCCCCAUCCUCAACUGGAAGACAAGCCUCAGGAGACCAGGAGGCUGGUUGUGCACCUUCUCUGGAUAGGAAAGGUUUCACAAAAAUCAAUAGCAUGAGAUAUGGACUUCAAAAGAGACAUGGUGACUCAGCAGCAAUGGGUCCUAUGGGCACCGCACGGAAAGGAAAUAACAUGAGCAGAGUAUGAAGAGAGAAAUCUGGAGCAUGUUCAGGAAAGAUGGACUCAUCUAGUUGGGAAAGAAUACAUCCAAACACAGGAAAAGAAGACUGAGUUAACCUCAUGGAGGGUCUUCAGUGUCAGAAGGAAGAAUUCUGUGGAUGGUGAGGAGCCACAGAAAGUUUCUUAGCAAGGAAAUGACACAGGCAAAGCAUAGCAUAGCAUCAGCAAGAUGAAAGGCUGAUUUAAUAGUCCAGGCAAAGGAUACUAAUAACAUUUUAAGUAACUCUGAUAAAACUCUAAAAAUCUCUGCCUUUUUUUUUUUUAAUAGAAAACUCUCAAGAGAGAACAGGAAGAGAACUAUGAACUUAGUGCUGUUAACUAUUGGAACAGAAAGUACAAUGUUACGAAGUAUAAAGUUGAACAUAAUGAUGAAAUUUGUUUCUCUAAUAUCUGUUCAAAAGCCUUUUGCAAAAUAAACACAGAUUUUAUUAUAUCAAACCACCCAAAGUGACUCAUCUCUUUGGAAAUGCGUCUCUGGCAUCUUCUUUCCUCAGGCCUCAAAUUCUUUCAGAAAAUCAAGCAGAUUAGUAGGCCUGAUGACAGGACAGAAGUCAGAACUCGAAAUCCUAAAUCCACUUCUGCCACCGACUCUGUCUAACGUGGAGCUUUAUGUCAUUUUUGUAUUUAUAAAAUAUGGCGAGUGUUUUAUAAAUUAACUAAUCUGUUACUGGAAAGUAACACAUAGUUUCAAAAUAAUUGCACUUAUACACUGAAAUCAAUAAAGACUUUUAAUGGCAUCCCUUACAAAGUAUUCUUGAAUUAUCUCAUUUAUUUCUCAAUCAGGCAGGGAAAAUAGAAAUAUUCACAUUAAUGCAUAUAUGUGAGAGUGUGUAGUCUUACAAACAGUGGCUCUGUCCUUAAAAAUUCCCAGAUAACAAAAAUGAAAAAAAAAAGUUUCUUUUCAAAAGACAUGAUGAUGUAAACAUCAGGAAGUUUAAAAUAACACUUGUAUAAACUGUUUGAAUUGAAGAGAAAAAAACACACCCCAAAAGAGUUUUGUCAGAAUAAAAAGAAAACAAAUCCCAAAUCCUGACAGUAACAUAAAAGCCAAAUUCUCCCCCUUCCUUUCAUAAUGGCUUUUCUAUUGAGCUUCAUUUUGACCUUUCAUUACUUUCCCAACAUUGAAGAAUAUUGCCUUUCAAAACUCUCCAUUUCUCUGCCGGUUGUACUAUUAUUCCUUCUCCCAUUGUUGAGAGUUCUUAGCUACUGUGGUUCCACUAUGAAAUGCACAACCUUCAGUUUCUGCCAAACAAAUACAAACCAGCAUUUCUGCACAAUUUCCACUUUAAAUUCAUACCCUGCAUAAAGAGAAAGAGAAUCAUAAAGCCAUAAACAUGCCAAGAAGCAGAAAACAGGAAAGUUCGUUAUCUAUUUGCUAGAAAAGAAACAAUCCAUCUUAUAAUCAAUCUAUAGUUAAGGCACCCUGCACCCUCCCUCCUCCGCUGCAACAGGAUGUGCCCUCCUCAGAAGAACACAAACAGCCUUAAUUCAUUAGUCAGAGCUGGGAGGGUGGACCAAGUGCAUGAUCUGAUUGAUAAAGUUUCAUUACAAAUUAGCCCAUCUCUUUGAUGAAAACAAGCAAGGCAGAGACUGUACCAUAAUUUUCUCCUCAUAAAUGAGUCAACCAGACAAACACUAAACAGAGCUUGCCACAUGAGGGGCAAACUAAUUUAAUUAAUUCAUACACAGCACCUCAUUAAGAGCAGUUUUAGCACUGAGGUUGUGAUCUUGUUGAGUCUGCAUCAUUUUCCACAAAGAUGCCCACUUAGUUCUCAGUGAUGAGGGGCCAGAAAAGGGGCAAGAUAUAUGCUUCUG